This 34-nucleotide ribosomal RNA is filed under the name Amicia medicaginea. RNAcentral's name for it is "partial large subunit ribosomal RNA". The record is from RNAcentral. Lineage: Eukaryota; Viridiplantae; Streptophyta; Magnoliopsida; Fabales; Fabaceae.
GCGACCUCAGGUAAGGUGGGGCUACCCGCUGAGU